Trachemys scripta elegans is the source of this 242-nucleotide long non-coding RNA. RefSeq lists it as uncharacterized. The record is from RefSeq and is a predicted model, not a curated record. Lineage: Eukaryota; Metazoa; Chordata; Testudines; Emydidae. The transcript has 3 exons.
AGCAAAGUACAAACAGAAUCAGCACAGACCAGACACCUGUCUUCACCAUGAAGCUAAAAGGUGCCUUUGUGUUCCUUUCCCUGGCAUUUUGCUGCUUCAUUUUAGGCGUCACCACUCAAGAUGAGAGUCAGCCUGACUGCAGUAAAUACAAAAAUCCAGAUGGAACCUGGAUAGGAGGCUGUCCAAGGAACUAUGCACCAGUCUGUGGAACAGACGGCAUCACUCACAGCAAUGAAUGUUUG